RNAcentral lists this long non-coding RNA (3230 nucleotides) under Sus scrofa (pig). Its description in RNAcentral is "lncRNA (ENSSSCG00000049477.1)". The record is from RNAcentral. Lineage: Eukaryota; Metazoa; Chordata; Mammalia; Artiodactyla; Suidae.
AAAAUUUUAGCCUUGGUAUGGAGAAUACUUCUACAUAAAAUGUAAAGAGUUUACCAUUUAUUGGAUGGUCAAAUUCAUGAACCAGCCUAAUCAAUCAUAGGGGUAGAUGAAAAUUAAAGGAUAUGUAACUAUUUUGCAGUAACAUAUCAAAAAAGUAAUAUUAAGUCCUUAUAUUUCAUAUAAGGCAUACAUACACCCUUUGCAAAAUAAUUUUGAAAUCAUUCAAAAGUUUCUUUUUCAAAAUUGGUGUGAAAUUAAAAGGUUCAUUUAUAAAUUUAACUUUUUCCUUCUGGUGGAUGAUUAUUUCAUAUGGAACAGGAGAAAAAAAAAAAAAGCAAACUUUUGUUUGUGCAAAAGUGGGGCAGGAGGCUGGUGUCCACAAAGGACUUCAGACAGACUGUGAAAUCCACCAUUUCUUGGGUGUUUGUUGUAUGAAUCCAUUACCACUUGGAUAGUGCGGAGUUUUCAGGACAUGGUAAGAUUAUGAAAACACCAGAAGGUACAUGAAAGAAAGGGAACUUUUAUUUCCCUGGCCAUCCCAUCAAUUUAUUUUUCUUUAAUGUAUAAAUUUAAGCCAGCUUGCAGCUUUUCAAAAGGACAGCCUUAUUUAUGUGUACUCCAUUUCCUUGCUUUUUGACGAAUGUUUCAAUUGCAUGGAAUCUGCAAUAACCCACUGCAGGACAAGUACGUGUUCCUAUAAAAGAAAAUAUUUGCUGGGAAAACUCUGCAGUGCAUGUUGCCAAUAUUAUCAACUUUGUUUUUGUUAAUUUCAGAAGUGUUAGUUUUUUGUUUUGAGCCAUGCCUGGUAUAUUAUAUAUACUAUAGUAUAUAUAGUCUUAAUGUCAUCUUUCAAGCAUUUUUGUACUGUUUGCAUUGAAUUUUAAAUGUUAUAUCCAAUAGUUUCAGUGUUACAUCUUAUUACAUAAAGACAUGAACUGGCCUAAGUAAAGCUGAAGGUUAAGAUACUCAGGUCACCUUAGUAUAAAGGUCUUUAUUACACUAGAUGCUUGGUAUAAAGGUCUUUUAUUAUAGUAAGUAUAAUAUUAUUAUACUUAGCAAAGUGAUGGCAUUGUUGAGUGAGAUACACAGAAAUAAUGCUAAGAUUGAGAUGCUGUCAAAUAUAACAGAUUUCUCUAUGAGUCAAGCUUUUCUACAUAUAUUUAUACAUAUCUGUAUAUAAACAUAUAUACUUGUGUAUAUAUAGUCAUAUAUAUUAUACAUAUUCAUAUGGGUUAAUUGAGAGAUUUUUUAAAUUAAGAACUUUAUUUUUAGGCCAGGUAAAAGUUGGUAACAAAAUUGAGCCGAGAACACAGCCUCCCCCAUUAUCAAUAUCCCCACCAGAUGGUACAUUGUUACACCUGAUGAACCUACACUGGUGCAUCAUUAUCACCUGAAGUCCAUGGUUUAUGUUAAGUUCACUCUGGCACAUUGUAUGGGUUUGGACACAAGUUUGAUAACAUGUAUGCACCAUCACAGUAUCACACUGUCAUUUCUCUACCCUAAACCUUCUGUACUAUCCCUCUUAACCCCUCCCUCCCUCACCCCAACUCCUGGAAACCAGCGAUCCUGUCACUGUUCCCGUAGUUGUGGCCUUUCCAGAAUGUCAUCAAGCUGUAGCUAUUCCCUCUACAGCCUUUUCAGAUUACCUUCUUUCACUUCACCACAUGCAUUUCAGAUUCCUCCCAAUCUUUUCACAGCUUGAUAGCCCAUUUCUUUGAGUGCUGAGGCAAGGAGGGGUGAGUGGUCUACUUCCUUUAGGUUCAGAGGCACCAAGGAGGGAGAACUGCCCCCACAGGACAGGUCCACUCACCAGCAACUGGGUCUGCAGUAAAAGCAGGCACUGGAUCUGUGGACAUGGAAGGCCAGGUGCUGGGAAGUGACCCUGACCUCAGCUUCCUCCCACACCAGACUCAGUCUGGCAACCAGAGAGCAAGGGUGCUCCUUGAGCCCAGCCAGCAAGGAUGUUCCCAGGGCUUAGAAGGAUGCAGUGGGGGAGAGAUUAAGUUUGAAGCACCCAGUAAAAACCAGAUGGCUCAAGGCCCAACACAGGUGAAGCACCUCAUGUAGAAAUCCCUAAUUUCUCAUUAAUAACUCAAAUCAAAAGAUAUUCAGCCACUAAACUCCUACAUUAUUUACCAAAGCCAGGGCCAAACAGUGUUUAAAAUAAUUGUACAAAUUGGUAGAAAUUAUUAUUGAGAUGACUCAGUAUUUUUUGACUUUAAUUUAAAAUAACAUGAACCAUAAAUGAUUGGUUACCCUUUGCCAUAUCUUCAAUCAAGUGGUUGCUAAGAACUAAGUAAAGGUGCAACACUGUAUUUUGAUAAGACACAUUUCUAGAGAUCACCAAUACAUAAAUUAUAGCAAAAUCUUUUAUUAAGCAUAAUUUAGUUAUACACUUUAGAGAGGACUUUUAUAUAUAUUUAGAUAUAGAUUUGUAUUAUAUAUCAGUUUUGUGUAUAUAAAAUAUAGAAAAAAACAUAAGAAAAAUAAACAUGUAUUCCAAAGCCAUCUUCAUCCACUAUCCUAAGCUUUCUUUUUUUAACUACUUUUUGACUCAGUAUUAUUCUUGGUGAUAAGAGAAGUGUUGGAUAUUUAAUAUUUGAUAAAGGAAUGUUCUGUUAGCGUAUCCUGGUGCUUUUCCACCCCCACUGCCCUCUUUCUGCCAGUCUGGACACCAGUACCUUUUUGUCUCUCCCUCUCUCUCUUUUUUUUUUUUUAAGGGCCGCACCUGUGGCAUAUGGAGGCUGCCAAACUAGGGGUCUAAUGGGAGCUGUUGCUGCCGGCCUACACCACAGCCACAGCAACGCGAAAUCCGAGCCGCAUCUGCGACCUAUGCCACAGCUCAUGGCAAUGCCGGAUCCUUAACCCACUGGAGCAAGGCCAGGGAUCGAACCCACAACCUCACGGUUUCUAGUCGGAUUCGUUUCCACUGAUCCACAACAGGGACUCCAACCAGUGCCUUUCUGAACUCAGCAGACAGUGUGGACAGAAAGUUCUGGGGUAACAACUGGGGCUCCUGUUCUUCAUCCAAUUAUUGUAACCAUUUUACCCACUGUACCACAGACAAGCCACUUUCGUGUGGUUCUGCUACUGGGAAUGACUGGGCAGUGACAUCUAACUUCUGACCACCACCUGGCUGCCUGCAAUGGCAAGAGGCCAGGAACAGUCAGCACUUCAAUUCCAAAGAUGUUAAAACUGGAGCGAAACCAGACAUCGUAGAGCUGAUGGAA